AAAACUAAGAACUCUGCAUGCUUGUGACAUACAACAUGAAAGCUAAGAACACAAAGUUAUGCAUUGAUCAAGAACUCUUGGUGAAGUUGGUUUUAUGUACAAGUAAUGGAAAACUCAUAAAAACUGCGAUGCCUUGGUAACUUCUGUGUACUUAUGCUGCAGGUACCAACAUAUGUAAAGUUCCAUUUUUACUUUUUCAUUUGUUUCAACGAGUGAUGUUUGUUUCUGAUGUAUUUUCUA
Molecule: long non-coding RNA, 240 nt
Filed under: Sorghum bicolor (sorghum)
Lineage: Eukaryota; Viridiplantae; Streptophyta; Magnoliopsida; Poales; Poaceae
Description: long non-coding RNA (SBIC_LNC002683)
Source: RNAcentral